RNAcentral lists this ribosomal RNA (443 nucleotides) under uncultured bacterium. RNAcentral's name for it is "partial 16S ribosomal RNA". It matches the Rfam family "Bacterial small subunit ribosomal RNA", at positions 338 to 795 of the family's 1533-position model. The record is from RNAcentral.
CCUACGGGCGGCAGCAGUGGGGAAUAUUGGACAAUGGGGGGAACCCUGAUCCAGCGACGCCGCGUGAGUGAAGAAGUAUUUCGGGAUGUAAAGCUCUAUCAGCAGGGAAGAAAGAAAUGACGGUACCUGACUAAGAAGCCCCGGCUAACUACGUGCCAGCAGCCGCGGGAAUACGUAGGGGGCAAGCGUUAUCCGGAUUUACUGGGUGUAAAGGGAGCGUAGACGGCGAUGCAAGUCUGAAGUGAAAGGCGGGGGCCCAACCCCUGGACUGCUUUGGAAACUGUAUGGCUGGAGUGCAGGAGAGGUAAGUGGAAUUCCUGGUGUAGCGGUGAAAUGCGUAGAUAUUAGGAGGAACUCCAGUGGCGAAGGCGGCUUACUGGACUGUAACUGACGUUGAGGCUCGAAAGCGUGGGGAGCAAACAGGAUUAGAUACCCUUGUAGUC